ACGGGUGUGUAACGCGUAGGUAACCUGCCUGGUAGCGGGGGAUAACUAUUGGAAACGAUAGCUAAUACCGCAUAAUAGUAGAUGUUGCAUGACAUUUGCUUAAAAGGUGCAAUUGCAUCACUACCAGAUGGACCUGCGUUGUAUUAGCUAGUUGGUGGGGUAACGGCUCACCAAGGCGACGAUACAUAGCCGACCUGAGAGGAUGACCGGCCACAUUGGGACUGAGACACGGCCCAAACUCCUACGGGAGGCAGCAGUGGGGAAUAUUGGACAAUGGGGGAAACCCUGAUUCAGCGACGCCGCGUGAGUGAGGAAGUAUUUCGGUAUGUAAAGCUCUAUCAGCAGGGAAGAAAAUGACGGUACCUGACUAAGAAGCCCCGGCUAACUACGUGCCAGCAGCCGCGGUAAUACGUAGGGGGCAAGCGUUAUCCGGAUUUACUGGGUGUAAAGGGAGCGCAGACGGCCAAGCAAGUCUGAAGUGAAAUGCGUGGGCUCAACCCAUGAAUUGCUUUGGAAACUGUUAGGCUUGAGUGUCGGAGGGGUAAGCGGAAUUCCUAGUGUAGCGGUGAAAUGCGUAGAUAUUAGGAGGAACACCGGAGGCGAAGGCGGCUUACUGGACGACAACUGACGUUGAGGCUCGAAGGCGUGGGGAGCAAACAGGAUUAGAUACCCC
RNAcentral lists this ribosomal RNA (673 nucleotides) under uncultured bacterium. RNAcentral describes it as "bacterial SSU rRNA". It matches the Rfam family "Bacterial small subunit ribosomal RNA", at positions 102 to 788 of the family's 1533-position model. The record is from RNAcentral.